GCAGCAGGGGCAAAUGUCUGGAAAAUCGGGUGCGAGCGGUGCAGCGUUGCUGAAGGGACAGGUUCCCAGGAGAAACCAAGGAGUGGCCAGUGACUCUGCUAUAGACCUUCAAGCAUCAGUAAAGAGCAAAACCCACCUAUAGAGUACCUAUACAAUCAAGUUCCUGCUGGUAACUGAAUCACUGGACACAAUCAUAAAGCACAAGGCCCUCGUGAUCUGCUUCUGCAUGUCAGUGCUGAAUGGGACCUGAGAGAUCAUUUCAUCCAACUCCCAUUCGAUGACAGUGGGGAAGUUGAGGCCUGCUUAAUUAACAAGAUGGGCAACCUAAAAACUCACAUGUUCAACAUCUGCCAGGAGCCCUGCAAACUCAAUGAGCUAGACUUUAUGAGCCCAUUUUACAGAUGAAGAAACUGACAGCUCUGAGGAUAACUGACUUGUCCAAGGCCACAGAGCUGAAGAGGAACUGAACCAAGAUUGGAGCCCUGGGCUUUCUGAUUCAAAAGUGCAUGCUCUUGUCAGCACCAGGACACUGGAGGGGGUCCAGAGAGAUGUGCGGGCAGGACCCAGAUGUUCUGGCUGCAGAACCGGGUGUCCUGGACAGUCAGGGGUGGUUACAACACAGGCUUUCCUCACCUCACUGCCCACACUGGCCCUCCCACACCACAAGCUUCCCUUUUCAGUCUUCAGCUCACAGAAUUCUCCUCUCCAACCCAGCCUUCCCCAGACCAUCAAGUCCCUUCUGAAGUCUGACCCCAUGUCCCUGUGCUGCCCUUGCCCUUUGGAAAGGAUCAACCAGUGCCUCGCAUUUGUAAAGCACUACUGCUUCGGUUGAAUCAUUUCAGUUCCACGUUGGGUAAUGGCAUUAUCUCUAUUUUACAUUUGAAGAAACUAAGGUUCAGUCAGGUUUCUCAUGUGGCUCCUUGAACCCAGGUCAUCUGCCUGAUUCCAUACCUAGGGCUCUUUUUUCAUCUCAUCUCAGACACUUCAAAUCCAUCCGCAUCGGAAUUCCAGGCAUGAAAAUAAUGAGUGGCAUCUGUCCAAAAGCCCUUUCCCUGCUCCUGGUCCUCACUCUGUGCUCCUGUCUUCCCCAGGGAUCUGCUGUCACCCUACAGCUUUUUGUUGGCAAGGCUCGGGAACCAGAGGUCAAAAAGCUGGCAGAGCCCAUGUUCGGCAAGAACCCUCUUCCUGAC
This is a long non-coding RNA of Talpa occidentalis (Iberian mole), 1190 nucleotides long. RefSeq lists it as uncharacterized. NCBI's taxonomy places the organism in Eukaryota, Metazoa, Chordata, Mammalia, Eulipotyphla, Talpidae. The transcript has 3 exons. The record is from RefSeq and is a predicted model, not a curated record.